Diospyros lotus (date-plum) is the source of this 1992-nucleotide RNA transcript. It is a transcript of the gene named WAT1-related protein At3g28050-like, with no coding region annotated. NCBI's taxonomy places the organism in Eukaryota, Viridiplantae, Streptophyta, Magnoliopsida, Ericales, Ebenaceae. The transcript has 12 exons. The record is from RefSeq and is a predicted model, not a curated record.
GUUCUCUGUCUCCUUCUGUAAAUUCUGGUUUCUAUUCAUUCCAGAACGUAUAAAAUUGUUUAACAGAUGCAACCAGCUUCAUCCCAUCAGUAUCCAUCUCCUGUGACUUUAUCGUGUAAUUGCAUCGCCCCUGUCUCUGAUUCAUCUGUGUAAUUUUGAAGAUUGAUGACACGAGGAAAAAAGCAAUCAAUCUGGGUUCUUGCUUGGAAUCAAUCGGCGUCAUCUUCCUCAGCGACGCGCUUCAUCUUGGCAGUGUCACGGGAAGAACUGUAGUUGCCGUUGGAUUCUAUACGGUGACGUGGGGACGACAAGCCAAAGAAAAGAAUAUCGCCGGAGACCAUUUCUCCUCGCCGGGAUCUUCCUCCAUUCAGUUUCUCUCCUCUCUGUAAAAUCUGCCUGCUUGGACUAACUGGGAAUUAAAGACUCACGAGCGAGCACGCACUGUUCGUGGCUCUGGUGCUGGGCUACAAAGGUUCUGAAUACCCUUCUCCCACGCUGGCUUCAGCCAUCGGCAACCUCACUCUCCUCUUCAUUAACAGUGGUGCUUCUCUACAAGGGGGGCGGCCCAGUGAUCAUCACAAGAAAGUCUAGAGAGAGAGAGACAGACAGACAGACAGACAGACACAGAGAAUGGACAGAGGAAAGUACUGGUACAGGGAGGUGCUGCCGGUGACGGCGAUGGUGACAAUGGAGUGCAUGAACGUCGGCCUGAACACGCUGUUCAAAGCGGCCACCGUCAGGGGAAUGAGCCACCACGUCUUCGUCGUCUACUCCUACGCAGUCGCCGCUCUCCUCCUCCUCCCUUCCCCCUUCUUCUCCUCCAGAUCAAGGACGCUGCCUCCGGUCACCUUGUCCGUCGCAUGCAAAAUCCUCCUUCUUGGGCUCAUCGGGUCCACGUCGCAGGUGAUGGGAUACACGGGAAUCAACUACAGCUCGCCCACGCUGGCUUCAGCCAUCAGCAACCUCGUCCCCGCUUUCACUUUCAUCCUUGCACUCAUGUUCAGGAUGGAGAAGCUAGAGCCCAGAAGCUCAACCAGUCGAGCUAAAAUCAUAGGCACCGUAGUAUCAAUUUCAGGCGCAUUUGUAGUCACUCUUUACAAAGGUCCGGCGAUCGCACCGCCGGGUCUGCCGCCCUCUGUUGCACUUCAUCAGCCCAGCUUGCCGCCGUCCAAAUGGGUCAUCGGCGGACUUUGCCUCACGACAGAGUAUCUUCUGGUUCCAAUGUGGUACAUUGUUCAGGCACAGAUCAUGAAAGAGUACCCAGCUGAACUGACGGUGGUCUUCUUCUACAACCUGUGCGUUAGCAUCCUAGCAGCAAUCGUCGGCGUCAUCGCGGAGCCGAAUACCAGCGCUUGGAGAAUCAGAUUUGAUAUAGCAUUGGUCUCUGUAUUAUGCUCGGGCAUAUUCGGGUCGUUCUUGAACAAUGCCGUACACACAUGGGUGCUGCGAGUGCGAGGGCCGGUCUAUGUCGCCAUGUUCAAGCCACUGUCCAUCGCCAUUGCAGUGGCUAUGGGGGUCAUCUUCCUGGGCGACACUCUGUAUCUGGGAAGCAUGGUUGGAGCGACGAUAAUAUCUGUCGGGUUUUACACUGUAAUGUGGGGGAAGGCGAAAGAAGACAUGGCUGAGGGUUGUGAAACUGCCGAUGUGGAAUCGUCGCCCUCAUCUGAUGAAAGAAUCCCUCUGCUGCGAAGCCACAAAAACUGAAGAAAUGUAGAUCCGGCCGCCUGGCAACUCAGAUCUCAGUAUCAGCAGAGCGGGAGGAUUGUGUCUCUAAAGGUUAGAGCAACCCACAGAGAUCAACUAUGAAGCGGUCAAGGAGGAGGAAGCAUGAAGAACUUGUACCAUCUGAAGAAACAGCCACACAUAUGUGAAUGUGGGCAGAAGGCGGUUGAAAUACCAGACAAGGGAUGAGUGCAAGGGGAUGAAGAGGGGACGGGAGACAGGCCAAGCCUUGGGAAGCAGUAGGAGGAAAAAGAACCCUGGUCAUUCAUA